AGUGGCGAACGGGUGAGUAAUGCAUCGGAACGUGCCCAGUAGUGGGGGAUAGCCCGGCGAAAGCCGGAUUAAUACCGCAUACGACCUGAGGGUGAAAGCGGGGGACCGAAAGGCCUCGCGCUAUUGGAGCGGCCGAUGUCGGAUUAGCUAGUUGGUGGGGUAAAGGCUUACCAAGGCGACGAUCCGUAGCUGGUCUGAGAGGACGACCAGCCACACUGGGACUGAGACACGGCCCAGACUCCUACGGGAGGCAGCAGUGGGGAAUUUUGGACAAUGGGGGCAACCCUGAUCCAGCCAUGCCGCGUGCGGGAAGAAGGCCUUCGGGUUGUAAACCGCUUUUGUUCGGGAAGAAAUCCUCUGGGCUAAUACCCUGGGGGGAUGACGGUACCGGAAGAAUAAGCACCGGCUAACUACGUGCCAGCAGCCGCGGUAAUACGUAGGGUGCGAGCGUUAAUCGGAAUUACUGGGCGUAAAGCGUGCGCAGGCGGUUGUGCAAGACAGAUGUGAAAUCCCCGGGCUUAACCUGGGAACUGCAUUUGUGACUGCACGGCUAGAGUGCGGCAGAGGGGAGUGGAAUUCCGCGUGUAGCAGUGAAAUGCGUAGAUAUGCGGAGGAACACCGAUGGCGAAGGCAGCUCCCUGGGCCUGCACUGA
This 653-nucleotide ribosomal RNA is filed under the name uncultured bacterium. RNAcentral describes it as "bacterial SSU rRNA". It matches the Rfam family "Bacterial small subunit ribosomal RNA", at positions 94 to 743 of the family's 1533-position model. The record is from RNAcentral.